GCUCGCGAUUCAUGGGGCCGCCACGUCGCCGGCACGGUGGCAUUCCGGCGAUCCCUCGAGGAGUGCCACAAGCUCUACAAACCUCGAAGUUUAGAUCCAUUUCCUCAUCCUCUUUCCACUCCUUAUUUCGUUAGCUAGGGUCGAUCUCUGCGCAAUGCCCUGUUUUAUCACAGAAGCAAGGGGUUAUCUGAUCUGUUUCGUUUUCCAUCAAUUGGAGUGUCUUUAUUGCAAUGGGGAGACAGCUCUAGGGAUUUCCAUGAUCGAAUGUCCAAGAUUCCAUCUUACUGUGUUCUGAUUUAACGAUUUGUUCUGGUCUAAAUCUUUCUUCUUCUUCUUCUGCGUUUGUUUCGAUCAUGACGAGACACCUACUUGGUUUUGGUGGUCUUCUGGGCACGCUGCAGCAGAGAAGUGAUAUUCGCCUUUCUUUUGAGGUACUGCAAGAUGCAGCAUCAGUGACUUGGACAUCAGAGGUAUUGCAGCAUGAAUUCAUGAUUGAGGUCAUUCAUGAAAAAGCUCAAAAGUAUAGAGGGAACCCAUGUUGGUGCUCAAAGCAUUUGCACGCACGUCUGAUAAUCCUGUCUGCAUUACCAAUAGUCCUAAUGUUAUUGUUAUCAUCGAUGAAAAGGAAGUUGAUGAUGGAUGCAGAGUAUUCAUAAAAUUAAAUAAGCAAAGAUCACACAGUAAUGGCCAUUGGUUUCCCUUUUCGGUUCUGUCAUAAAAUGGGCUUGCCCCCCUUUUCAAUUUUCAAACUCCUAAACAAUGGUUCAAAGUAGAAUAAUUGGACGCAGAAGAUCUAUAAGAAACCAAAGGAAUAUCGUGGAUCACAGAGUAAGUUAGAAUUCUUAGUGUGAAUGCCACGAUUGGACAGACCAAUUAAACACUAGUCUCUUCUCAUACGCUGAUCUCACCCACCCAAGAAGGUUAGAAUUACCUUGUUCCAAAGAUUCUUUUCUUGUUCAAACCAAGCUAUUUGUUGGUUCAUUUGAGCAUUGUUGGAAGAAAAGAAAGAGAGAAGAAAUAUCAUUCAGAGCAAAUUUACUUUUGAGGUGAGGUAGACACAACAGGUUUGGUGAAAUCUAACAAGUUUUCCUUCACAAGAAGGCUCGGACUUUGAGAAGCAUCCAUGAUACUGGUCUAUGGCCUGAAGCGUUGUCUGCAAGCUUGACAGGUAAUCUCCAUGCAUGUGGCGCCAACUUUUUUGGUGGCCAAUUCUUUCAUCCUCUCAGCCUUCUCUACCUCCUCCCGAGCUCGCUCCCACACCAUUCUUGCUCGUGCAAACUCCUUCUCUGCUAGCUCCAUCUCCCUCCUUGUCAGUUCCCGUACUCUCUCUGCAUAAGCCUUCUCUACAGCAGCCAGUCGAAUUUGCUCAGUCGUAUGUUGCUUCAGAAUUUGGAUAUUUCUGAUGCUGCUUUUGAACCUCUUCACCUGUAGCUGAUUGCACAGGACUAACGCUAAUGGAGAGAUUCAAGUCAAGUGGUGGAGAGUCUGAAGGAAUGAUAACUGUUUUCAUCUCUGAGGACUUGGGUAUCUCAAGGGCAGGCUUGGUAGAGGGUUUGGGAAGUAGUAGUUGUAGUUCCCUUUCUUCUUGAUCUUCUACAUCCAUUGAAGAAUAGAGGAGUUACCAGAAUAAGCUAAGUGGAGGGUUGUGAGGGUGUGUGUCUUGAGUCUUGACAGUCUCUUUAUACUUCUUUCUUGUAGUGUUUUUCCAAGUUGCAUUUCAUUUUUUUAUUUUUUUUUAUUAUUUUUUUGAGGAAUUUUGAAGUUUACAUCUAAUUGGAGAUCUUGUUUGUUAGGGAGGGUAUUUAUGUCUUUUCUGUUGUUUUUAAUGCAGGAGCUCUUUUUGAUCCAGAUUCAUGACUGAUCUAUCUGAUUGUUUAGCUGUACUUGUCCAGCUUUAGUUGGCCAUAUUAGAGGAUACUUCCAAGUUCAAGUGGAGGAGUUUCCUCAAACUUCUCAAUAGUCUGCACAGAUGCCCUAAUAUCAUACAUGAUACAGCUAAAAGCCCAGAAUUUUCGGGUUAGAUCAAGCCCUUGUAGGUGGGCAUAAUUCAGUGCACAUGAGCGAGAGUGGGACCUAUAUGAAGACGUGGAUGGAUGUUGAUCUGACAGGAAAUGGUCAAGAAAGGCCACUGUAUUGCAUUGCUUUUGUGGAGGAUUUGCAAUGUCGGACUGUGAUUGAUCAGUGAGUGAAGUGGUGCUGCUGGGGGAUCCCAGUUUUCAGGAUCACAGUGGCAAGAGAAUAUUAUCAGAAGCUAAAACGCCCCAGGCAUAGAUCCAAAAGGCUUCAGAUUCAUUGAAGUGAUGUGUUACCAAACCUCAAGAGAUAGAUUGCUGGCGGCCUUAGUUCAUUGAAUGGGUCAAGCAAAACCUUUGGCCCUAGCCUAAUCUUGAGCCCAAUCCAUGCUUAAAAUCCAUAGACUGGAGUUGCUGUCAAAAAAUAUUAUAGCCAAUAACCAGCUUGAUUUUAUUUGCCAAAAAAGGCGGUUUUUGUGAUACAGAAUAAGGAUGAUGGCUAGCACUUAUUAGAGUCAUAUCUGGAACUCACCCAAAAGAGAAGAUAAAGAUCUUAGUGUG
Dioscorea cayenensis subsp. rotundata (Guinea yam) is the source of this 2573-nucleotide long non-coding RNA. RefSeq lists it as uncharacterized. The transcript is spliced from 5 exons. The record is from RefSeq and is a predicted model, not a curated record. Lineage: Eukaryota; Viridiplantae; Streptophyta; Magnoliopsida; Dioscoreales; Dioscoreaceae.